Molecule: ribosomal RNA, 359 nt
Filed under: uncultured Pseudomonas sp.
Lineage: Bacteria; Pseudomonadati; Pseudomonadota; Gammaproteobacteria; Pseudomonadales; Pseudomonadaceae
Description: bacterial SSU rRNA
Rfam family: Bacterial small subunit ribosomal RNA
Source: RNAcentral
GCGGUCUGUAGUACAGGUGCUGCAUGGCUGUCGUCAGCUCGUGCUGUGAAGUGUUGGUUAAGUCCCGCAACGGAGCGCAACCCUAUCAUCUGUUGCCAGCAUUUAAGGUGGGGACUCAGAUGAGACUGCCGGUGACAAACCGGAGGAAGGUGGGGAUGACGUCAAGUCAUCAUGGCCCUUACGGCCUGGGCUACACACGUGCUACAAUGGUCGGUACAAAGGGUUGCCAAGCCGCGAGGUGGAGCUAAUCCCAUAAAACCGAUCGUAGUCCGGAUCGCAGUCUGCAACUCGACUGCGUGAAGUCGGAAUCGCUAGUAAUCGUGAAUCAGAAUGUCACGGUGAAUACGUUCCCGGGCCUU